RNAcentral lists this ribosomal RNA (311 nucleotides) under uncultured bacterium. Its description in RNAcentral is "partial 16S ribosomal RNA". It matches the Rfam family "Bacterial small subunit ribosomal RNA", at positions 1 to 288 of the family's 1533-position model. The record is from RNAcentral.
AACUUCCUGCCUUCGAAUGCUCUAGAUUAAAGUUGAUCAUGGCUCAGAUUGAACGCUGGCGGCAGGCCUAACACAUGCAAGUCGAACGGUAGCACAGAGAGCUUGCUCUCGGGUGACGAGUGGCGGACGGGUGAGUAAUGUCUGGGAAACUGCCUGAUGGAGGGGGAUAACUACUGGAAACGGUAGCUAAUACCGCAUAACGUCUUCGGACCAAAGUGGGGGACCUUCGGGCCNUCAUUGCCAUCAGAUGUGCCCAGAUGGGAUUAGCUAGUAGGUGGGGUAAUGGCUCACCUAGGCGACGAUCCCUAGCU